Molecule: ribosomal RNA, 798 nt
Filed under: uncultured Algibacter sp.
Lineage: Bacteria; Pseudomonadati; Bacteroidota; Flavobacteriia; Flavobacteriales; Flavobacteriaceae
Description: bacterial SSU rRNA
Rfam family: Bacterial small subunit ribosomal RNA
Source: RNAcentral
UCGAGGGGUAACAUUGGUGCUUGCACCAGAUGACGACCGGCGCACGGGUGCGUAACGCGUAUACAAUCUACCUUUUGCUAAGGGAUAGCCCAGAGAAAUUUGGAUUAAUACCUUAUAGUAUGCAGACUUCUCAUGGAGAUUGCAUUAAAGAUUACGGCAAAAGAUGAGUAUGCGUCCUAUUAGUUUGUUGGUGUGGUAACGGCACACCAAGACUACGAUAGGUAGGGGCCCUGAGAGGGGGAUCCCCCACACUGGUACUGAGACACGGACCAGACUCCUACGGGAGGCAGCAGUGAGGAAUAUUGGACAAUGGAGGCAACUCUGAUCCAGCCAUGCCGCGUGCAGGAAGACUGCCCUAUGGGUUGUAAACUGCUUUUAUACAGGAAGAAACACUCCCUCGUGAGGGAGCUUGACGGUACUGUAAGAAUAAGGAUCGGCUAACUCCGUGCCAGCAGCCGCGGUAAUACGGAGGAUCCAAGCGUUAUCCGGAAUCAUUGGGUUUAAAGGGUCCGUAGGUGGAUAAUUAAGUCAGAGGUGAAAGUUUGCAGCUCAACUGUAAAAUUGCCUUUGAUACUGGUUAUCUUGAGUUAUUGUGAAGUAGUUAGAAUAUGUAGUGUAGCGGUGAAAUGCAUAGAUAUUACAUAGAAUACCAAUUGCGAAGGCAGAUUACUAACAAUAUACUGACACUGAUGGACGAAAGCGUGGGUAGCGAACAGGAUUAGAUACCCUGGUAGUCCACGCCGUAAACGAUGGAUACUAGCUGUUGGGCUUCGGCUCAGUGGCUAAGCGAAAGUGAUA